UCAGAUUCAGCUUGAGAUCGUAAACGAUAAGACCAUCAUAGCUGUCAGCUGUGUCGCGUAGCUUAAAUUGAAUUGAAAUUAAUCAGCGAGUGCACGAUUGUAAUAUACCCUGGAUUAGUUAAGAAGACGUCUGCAAAAUGGAAAGUAGACAUCUAUUACAUUGGGAAUUUAAAUGGGAGUUGGAGAAAGAAACGCUUUCAAAUAAUCCCGCAACAUGCAAAAGCCGCCCUGUAAUUGGCCAUGUGUGUGCAAAGAACAUCAUAUGUUUGCCACGGCAAUAAAAAUCAAAAGCAUAAUUUCUUGUAUCAAUUGAGCGGCAAUAAAAUAAGGCAGCCACAAGGACUGUCGACUGUCGCGCUUCCUUUUUCCAUUGUGCACAGCUGUGUGAGAGACAGAGAGCUUCUUCAAGCCAUUGACAAAUUCUGGUGGCAAUCCAUUCACUUUCAAUUCCGUUUGUCGCAGCAACAAUUGUAAUAAUUUGCUUUCAAAUGAAUUCACCGUGAUCUAUGCACUAAACUAAUUUCAAUUGGGACCCAAGCAGGCGUGAAAUAAACAAGAAAUCACUUAAUACCAACAAUUACAUAACCAAUUAGGACUUUUGGCUUUAUGAGAGAGAAGGAAUCGCCAAGGCGGUGUGCUUAAUUUUUUGGCAUCACAGCAUCCGCACAGGACAUGGAACAUGGAAGCUGUGUCAUUGUGCUCAUAAAAACCGAAAGAGAAAAGUUU
Molecule: long non-coding RNA, 726 nt
Organism: Drosophila nasuta
Lineage: Eukaryota; Metazoa; Arthropoda; Insecta; Diptera; Drosophilidae
Exons: 3
Source: RefSeq, a predicted model, not a curated record